RNAcentral lists this ribosomal RNA (500 nucleotides) under Salmonella enterica. RNAcentral's name for it is "partial 23S ribosomal RNA". It matches the Rfam family "Bacterial large subunit ribosomal RNA", at positions 2240 to 2739 of the family's 2925-position model. RNAcentral also lists the same sequence under 2 other names. The record is from RNAcentral. Lineage: Bacteria; Pseudomonadati; Pseudomonadota; Gammaproteobacteria; Enterobacterales; Enterobacteriaceae.
CCGGGUUGCGGACAGUGUCUGGUGGGUAGUUUGACUGGGGCGGUCUCCUCCUAAAGAGUAACGGAGGAGCACGAAGGUUGGCUAAUCCUGGUCGGACAUCAGGAGGUUAGUGCAAUGGCAUAAGCCAGCUUGACUGCGAGCGUGACGGCGCGAGCAGGUGCGAAAGCAGGUCAUAGUGAUCCGGUGGUUCUGAAUGGAAGGGCCAUCGCUCAACGGAUAAAAGGUACUCCGGGGAUAACAGGCUGAUACCGCCCAAGAGUUCAUAUCGACGGCGGUGUUUGGCACCUCGAUGUCGGCUCAUCACAUCCUGGGGCUGAAGUAGGUCCCAAGGGUAUGGCUGUUCGCCAUUUAAAGUGGUACGCGAGCUGGGUUUAGAACGUCGUGAGACAGUUCGGUCCCUAUCUGCCGUGGGCGCUGGAGAACUGAGGGGGGCUGCUCCUAGUACGAGAGGACCGGAGUGGACGCAUCACUGGUGUUCGGGUUGUCAUGCCAAUGGCACU